This 3156-nucleotide long non-coding RNA is filed under the name Homo sapiens (human). RNAcentral's name for it is "HSALNT0355936". Lineage: Eukaryota; Metazoa; Chordata; Mammalia; Primates; Hominidae. The record is from RNAcentral.
CUAUGUGGACUUUGCUGCUGAGUCAGUGUGAGACCUUGAACAAGUCUCUGUUUGUUUCGUACCAUUCAGAUUUCCUCGUCUGUAAACAUUAAGUAUCUACAUUCACUAAAAGUAGUUCUGAAUGAAUGUUAUUUAAUGGUGCCAAUGAUGUUGGAGGAUACCUGUGCAUCUCAUGCUGUGGUUACAGCAUCAAUUGUGAUGAAUAUAGGAUACUGAGUCCCUCCUAGAAAUGACUUCAGGAACUUCACCCCCCAACUCCACAAUCUGGGAAUGGCAGACAGAUUCAGCACCAGGAGAACAUCACAUAAAGGACAAGUGUGUAUGUUUAAAAAUGGCAAGUUUCGGCCUGGCAUGGUGGCUCACGUCUAUAAUCCCAGCACUUUGGGAGGCUGAGUCUAAGUGUACAGUGCUUGUAAAGUCUGCAGUAGCAUACAGUAAUGUCCAAGGCUUUCACAUCCACUCACCACUCGCUCACUGACCCAGCCAGAGCAACUUCCAGUCCUGAAAGCUGCAUUCAUGACUCAAUCACCACAAUUGCAAUCAAAAGACGGCUUUAGUUGGAACCUGGAACGUGCUAAUCCUGUCAGGCAGCCUGUGAUUCUGGAAGUGAAGGAACAAAAAAAAAAAAAAAAAGGGAAAAUUUCACAUAAAAUUUCCAUAUGAGGAAGAAGAUGGAAACUUUUGUGUUGUGCGUUCAGUAAAACGGGCACUUUCUUAAGCAGGUGGCAAAGAAAGCCUGAGAAUCCGGCCUGACUUUUUCAUUUCAGAACCCUGCAUUUCCCACACAGAGGAGAUAGAGCACAGCCAUUGCAUGGUAGAUCCAGCUUGCUCUCACAGCCAUUGUGCAAAUAAACAUACAUGUGGCAAGGCAGUGCAGUUUUCAGUUGUUAAAAGUUCUGUCAUGCCACGAGAUGGAGCAAAGGAUAAACGCUGAUGUAAACAGGCAACAGGACUCUGACUCCACACCCCUGUCUGCACGGAGGAUGCUCAGUCCUUACACAACAAAAUGUGAGAUGCUUCCAGUCACCUCCUGGCCCUGACCCCUGAGCUCCGUGCUCACCCCACUGGAGGUCCUGGCAGUUCUCCGAGCAGGCUGUACCUGUCUGGGGUGAUCCUCUCCACUUAAUGUUAGACAUUAAGUUCCCUGUGAAAUCUGUUUUGACUCACUGAGGUUAUGAAUAUUUUAUCACAACUAUCAUCAUAUACUACCAAAUCUCCAAUUUUCUUAUCUCCAUUACUAGACUGUGAGCUCCCUGGAGGCUGGACCUGGGUUUGGCACCGAGUGGCACUCAUACAUACUUCUUGAAUAAGAGAAUGUAUGUACACAGUGGCAUGAAAUUGAUUUGAAUUUGUUGGUUUUCUUAAGUGCUAAAGUUGUAGACAGUUCAGUAAAAACUAUAAAGCGGUUACCCUGUAAACCAUGAGUACUAUUAAUUGGAACCUCCUUUCUUACAUAUCCACUUGUGUUUCUGUUAAUGUUUCCAAAAUAAAUAAAGAGCAGGCUAGAGGGAAACCUCCAGUCCUUAGAAACCACGGCACAAGAAUACAUCUGUAUUUGCACUCUGAGCAAGAGACUUCCUGUUGUUGUGUAUGUUUCAUUAAGAGAUCUGGGAAAAAUUAGCCUUGUACCAGGAUCUGAACUAUAGUUUGAAAGUGUUUAGUGGGUACCAAUGUUAAUGGCAUCAUUUUUGAAUGAUAUACAGGAUAUUUUUAAACACUUUCCUUCUGUUCCAUUUUUACACUUUCAUUAUGUUUGCCAGCAUUGGGCAGUUGGUUGCAUUUACUGAAGUUUGAAUAAAAAAAUCUAAGAUGAGUUACCAAAACACCUGCUAAACUCAUCUUGCAAGAUUGGUCAAUAAUAAUUUUUAUAUUAGAGUCUCCCCUCUCUAUAGACCUUCAAUAAUUAUUUUUAACAUCUGUUUUUCACUUCCAGUGUUAUUUUAAUUUUACUUCUAUAUAGGUUUCUAUGGAUGUCAGAUGUUCCAAAAUGAUUUUUAGUUGUCAUAAGCAAAAUUGUUGUCAUUUUGAUAAAAUUCCAACAGUGGAUUCCAAUUUGUUCAUUCAAAAAUAACAUAAAUUGCUGGCAAAAGUCAGUAGAAGAUAUUAUAUUUAUAUUUACAUGGAUUAAGCUGCCAGGAGUGCUAUCAGAAAAUUUAAAUUAACAUGGAAUGGGAUGAAAUUUCCCCAAGUCAAAGAUACCAACAGAGAGGCAAAGAGAGGUGGUCAGUGGUUAAAGACAGAUGAGCAAUUAAGGUACUUUCUUCUUAAUAAAGAUUGAGUUUGUACUUUGUCUUCUUGAAGUCUGGCAGAACAUUUCACAGUAGUGGUUGGUGUUUGUAGUUUUGGAUUUCCAUAUUUGAAAACUAUACAGUACCUCCAUCAGAUUUGUUGUAAUGGAUCCAAAUUUGGAAAGUUCUUUACAUAUUUAAAAUGAUACAUGAGUGGUUCCAGAUUCUCCAUGGGCCUGAUUUCUGGCUGACCAAGGGAAUCUCUAUUUGUGUCCUUCUCAGGGCUUAGAUGCCUGCUGUGCUCACUCCUGCCGAGAGGCACGGCCACCAUCUGCAGCUCCUGGCUGCACUUUCUAAACAGCUGCCUGGGUCAGUUCUUUUGACUAAGAUAUAGCCGAGUUGUACAGUUUACAAAUGAAUGGAAAAUCAUCACCCUACCAAGUCUUAAAUGGUUAUGACUCCAUCACUCAAGAAACUUCAGGAAUCAACAUUUGGUGAUCUGAAAUACACUGAAGCGUCCACGUAGUGAUGUUUGUGUGUUAGAUUCUGCUCCAUUUUCCAAUGUCUUCCCCCAUUUUCAGUCAACUCUUCAUCUCUGCAGUGGUGGCUUUAAAACAUGUCUACAAAUGCCUUGACCGUCUUUCCAGUGGGAGGCAGAGUCUAACUCCCUGUCCCCCGAAUGUGGGCUGGCCUUUGGGAAGAAAAGAAUAAGGUUGAAGUGAUGCUGCCCAACUUCUAAACCCAGUUCCUAAAAGGAAACCUGGAUUAGAAGCAUGUGCUGCUCUCAGACCUGGCCUACAGAGAAGAACUGACACAGACUUCCUUAGAUGUGUUGUCUUCCUGUCACUGGUGCAUUCCUUAUCAAUGUGGCUGGAGUGUAGUGGUGCAAUCACAGCUCACUGGAUCUUUGAAUCCCUGGGCUCAAGAG